CAGCAGCCGCCGCGGGAAUACCGAGGGUGCGAGCGUUAAUCGGAUUUACUGGGCGUAAAGCGUGCGUAGGCGGCUAAUUGAGUCGGAUGUGAAAUCCCCGAGCUUAACUUGGGAAUUGCAUUCGAUACUGGUUAGCUAGAGUGUGGGAGAGGAUGGUAGAAUUCCAGGUGUAGCGGUGAAAUGCGUAGAGAUCUGGAGGAAUACCGAUGGCGAAGGCAGCCAUCUGGCCUAACACUGACGCUGAGGUACGAAAGCAUGGGGAGCAAACAGGAUUAGAUACCCCAGUAGUCCCUGUCUCUUAUAC
Molecule: ribosomal RNA, 304 nt
Filed under: uncultured bacterium
Lineage: Bacteria
Description: partial 16S ribosomal RNA
Rfam family: Bacterial small subunit ribosomal RNA
Source: RNAcentral